GCCGCUGUGGCGAAACUGGCAGACGCACAGGAUUCAAAAUCCUGUUGUAGUGAUACAGUAUCGGUUCGAUUCCGAUCAGCGGCACCA
RNAcentral lists this transfer RNA (87 nucleotides) under Eubacteriales Family XIII. Incertae Sedis bacterium. RNAcentral's name for it is "tRNA-Leu". It matches the Rfam family "tRNA". Rfam says of the family: Transfer RNA (tRNA) molecules are approximately 80 nucleotides in length. Their secondary structure includes four short double-helical elements and three loops (D, anti-codon, and T loops). Further hydrogen bonds mediate the characteristic L-shaped molecular structure. tRNAs have two regions of fundamental functional importance: the anti-codon, which is responsible for specific mRNA codon recognition, and the 3' end, to which the tRNAs corresponding amino acid is attached (by aminoacyl-tRNA synthetases). tRNAs cope with the degeneracy of the genetic code in two manners: having more than one tRNA (with a specific anti-codon) for a particular amino acid; and 'wobble' base-pairing, i.e. permitting non-standard base-pairing at the 3rd anti-codon position. The record is from RNAcentral. Lineage: Bacteria; Bacillati; Bacillota; Clostridia; Peptostreptococcales; Anaerovoracaceae.